Molecule: RNA transcript, 2294 nt
Organism: Symphalangus syndactylus (siamang)
Lineage: Eukaryota; Metazoa; Chordata; Mammalia; Primates; Hylobatidae
Source: RefSeq, a predicted model, not a curated record
GUCUUUAAUAAUGAUCAGUGACAGCAGAAGUUGCUUUCCUUGCCGGUUUCUGGCAGCUUUCUCUGCUACAUCCUGUUUUUGAUCAGCAGGAGCCUUACUGGUGCUGGAAAAACAAGUCCUCCUGAUCGACCUCCCUACUGCAAAGGAACUUAGGAUCAGUUCCUACGGACUGGCUGUGAUGGGAAAGAAGCACCAGCACUCGCCUUAGAACUAGCAGCCAAGCCCUUCUAAAGUGCCCAGGAGCUCCAACCAAUAAAGAGAUCAUUAGACCAUUCAGGGUACCAGUCCCACUGCUAACAAGCCCCACUGGAAUCAUUCGGGCCGGCAAAGCAGUACAGAUAAAAGCUGCCAUAAAGAGUGGGAAGGCUUUUAUUGAUGCCACUUCAGAACCGAAGAAAAAUGCAUCUUCAUGUCCAGCCUGUCAGACCCAAAGGAAAGAAUAUUCACUCACAAUGGACCUUCAUCUGGAUGUAGUUCUUUCAAGAGAAAACCCGGCUGCAAAACCAACCAGAUCUUUCAUUCCUGUCAAAAGUAUUGCUUCUCUUUCUGUAUAGGCCAAAAGAUAUAUUUAACAAGAUGGCUCAUCAGAAAAGACCUUCAGUAACAUCAGAAUUCUCAUCCAAAGUACCUGAUGAAGUAAGACAACGCUCCGUCAAACUCUUUGUUGAGAAGUAUUUGAAAGUUUGUAAAACAGAGGAUGAGGCUGUUUACAAGACAGAGUCUCACUUUGUCACCAGGCUGGAGUGCAGUGGCGCAAUCUCCACUCACUGCAACCUCCGCCUUCCAGGUUCAAGUGAUUCUCCUGCCUCAGCCUCCCAAGUAGCUGGGAUUACAGGUGCAUGCCACCACACGCAGCCAUGUUUCUAUGAAUUUUCUUAUUCUAUUUACCUCAUGUAAUUGAAAUGAUAUACUAUUUGUCCUUGUAUGUCUGACUUCAUUUAGCAUAAUGUUUUAAAGAUUUAUUCAUGUUGUAGCAUGUAUUCAAAUUUUAUUUAUUUUUACAACUGAAGAACAUUUUACUGUAUGUAUAACCAUACUUUUGUUAUCCAUUUUGUCCACUCAAUAAUGGAUGGAGAUUGUAGUUUUCUUUGCAGUAAUGAUUCUGUCUUUUUUUUGGUCUCAGGGUUAUAUUGACCUCAUAGAAUAAAUUGGAAAGUGUUUCCUCCUCUUUUAUUUUUUGGUUUAUAAGACAGCCUUAGCUUUCACUUCCUGCUUGUGCAGGGCCUCAAGGUCAGCCACUGGUGAAUGAAUAGGACUUUCUGUAUUCCCAGGUCUUAAAUGGGACACUUGUUAAACCCAGGAUUAUGUCAGAGCCUUUAAAAAUCUCUAGGGUCAUCUAAUUCUCCAAGAGUUUCUUUUAAAUUCCUAGCCAAACUAUUGUUUGCCAAACUAAAACCAUAGCCCUAGCUAGCUGUGGGUUGGAUUCACAGAACUGUUUUUUUCUUCUUUUUUUGAGACAGAAUCUCUCUCUGUCCUCCAGGCUGGAGUGCAGUGGUGUGAUCUCGACUCACUGCAACCUCCACCUCCCAGGUUCAGGCGAUUAUCCUGCCUCAGCCUGCUGAGUAGCUGGGAUUACAGGCACCUGCCACCACGCCAGGCUAAUUUUUGUGUUUUUAGUAGAGAUGUGUUUUCACCAUGUUGGCCAGGCUAGUCUCAAACUCCUGGCCUCAAGUGAUCCACCCACCUCGGCCUCCCAAAGUGCUAGGAUUACAGACAUGAGACAGUGCGCCCAGCCUAUUUUUUUUCUUCUUAAGAAACAAAUACAAAAUGUAAAAUAAGUUACUUUUCAUUGGUGGCACCAUUUCCCCCCAUUCAUUAAGUUACAUAAAUAUUUUGCCAUAUUCAUUAUAUUGCAAGUGACAUUUCUUGUUCAUAGGCUUUUGGCUUAAUAUUUCUUUUAAUUAUUCAAUUUUUGACCUAGGCUAAAAUAGAAAAAAAGGUGAUACACGAAAGGUAUAGCAGGAGAAACAUGUAUGUGAACAUAGCAGUAAAUUAUCCUAAGAAGCUAAGAGAUCAAGGUAGUUUAUUUUUUCAGUUAAUCAAGUGAUAAGAUAAAACCUGUAAUUAGUACCUGACCCUGAAUACUUUUUCUCAUUAGUAGGGCCAUCUUUGGCUUAUACCAAGGAAUUUAUUUUUAAAAUAGUCUCUUUAGUGGAAUGUGUAGGUGGUACUUUUGGUUGAAAAUCAGCUAGAUUUGAAAUUGGAUGUAUAAAUAUAACCGUAUUGACAGAGGUUAUCACUGAAAUAUUUAAACUUGUUUUCUGGUUAUAAAAGUAACUCACUUCUAUGUGGAA